UGCUGUGAUGGUGUAAUUUGCGUCUUACACUGUGCACAGUGGCAGUUGCCUUCUGUCAUUACACUGGUGCAGGAGAAUGACGAACAAUGAAGUCUGAGCA
This is a small nucleolar RNA of Stegostoma tigrinum, 100 nucleotides long. RefSeq annotates it as small nucleolar RNA SNORD16. The transcript has a single exon. NCBI's taxonomy places the organism in Eukaryota, Metazoa, Chordata, Chondrichthyes, Orectolobiformes, Stegostomatidae. The record is from RefSeq and is a predicted model, not a curated record.